Molecule: ribosomal RNA, 508 nt
Filed under: uncultured bacterium
Lineage: Bacteria
Description: partial 16S ribosomal RNA
Rfam family: Bacterial small subunit ribosomal RNA
Source: RNAcentral
GAUGAACGCUAGCUACAGGCUUAACACAUGCAAGUCGAGGGGAAACGAUAUUGGAAGCUUGCUUCCGAUAGGCGUCGACCGGCGCACGGGUGAGUAACGCGUAUCCAACCUGCCCACCACUUGGGGAUAACCUUGCGAAAGUAAGACUAAUACCCAAUGAUAUCUCUAGAAGACAUCUGAAGGAGAUUAAAGAUUUAUCGGUGAUGGAUGGGGAUGCGUCUGAUUAGCUUGUUGGCGGGGUAACGGCCCACCAAGGCGACGAUCAGUAGGGGUUCUAGGAGGAAGGUCCCCCACAUUGGAACUGAGACACGGUCCAAACUCCUACGGGAGGCAGCAGUGAGGAAUAUUGGUCAAUGGGCGAGAGCCUGAACCAGCCAAGUAGCGUGCAGGAUGACGGCCCUAUGGGUUGUAAACUGCUUUUAUAAGGGAAUAAAGUGAGUCUCGUGAGACUUUUUGCAUGUACCUUAUGAAUAAGGACCGGCUAAUUCCGUGCCAGCCGCCGCGGUAA